Molecule: ribosomal RNA, 253 nt
Filed under: uncultured bacterium
Lineage: Bacteria
Description: partial 16S ribosomal RNA
Rfam family: Bacterial small subunit ribosomal RNA
Source: RNAcentral
UACGUAGGGGGCAAGCGUUGUCCGGAAUCAUUGGGCGUAAAGAGCGUGUAGGCGGCCAGAUAAGUCCGCUGUGAAAUCUCGAGGCUCAACUUCGAGCUGUCGGUGGAAACUGUCUGGCUAGAGUCCGGAAGAGGAGAAUGGAAUUCCUGGUGUAGCGGUGAAAUGCGCAGAUAUCAGGAAGAACACCCGUGGCGAAGGCGGCCCCCUGGACCGGUACUGACGCUGAGGCGCGAAAGCGUGGGUAGCAAACGGG